RNAcentral lists this ribosomal RNA (402 nucleotides) under uncultured bacterium. Its description in RNAcentral is "bacterial SSU rRNA". It matches the Rfam family "Bacterial small subunit ribosomal RNA", at positions 356 to 773 of the family's 1533-position model. The record is from RNAcentral.
GGGGAAUAUUGCGCAAUGGGGGAAACCCUGACGCAGCAAUACCGCGUGAGCGAAGAAGGUUUUCGGAUCGUAAAGCUCUGUUAUCGGGGAAGAAGAAGUGACGGUACCCGAUGAGGAAGUCCCGGCUAACUACGUGCCAGCAGCCGCGGUAAUACGUAGGGGACAAGCGUUGUCCGGAAUGACUGGGCGUAAAGGGCGCGUAGGCGGUUUUGUAAGUCAGAUGUGAAAGGUACCGGCUCAACCGGUGACGUGCAUUUGAAACUGCAAGACUUGAGUACUGGAGAGGCAAGUGGAAUUCCUAGUGUAGCGGUGAAAUGCGUAGAUAUUAGGAGGAACACCGGUGGCGAAGGCGGCUUGCUGGACAGAUACUGACGCUGAGGCGCGAAAGCGUGGGGAGCAAAC